AGCCUGGUGAGGUGAUGUGGCCUGCCGUGAGUGGAUGGGGGCUGAGAGUAUAUAAGAGUGAGAGGCCUGGGGUUCGAGGGAGAAAAAGAUGAAGCGAGAGAGAUGAAGACUGAAGCUUGCUGAAUAAACUGCUGUCAGAAGAACUGGUGGUCGUGUCGUUCUUGCUGAUUGAGAGCGGACGCGACAAGGGCCUUCCCACCUAAGGUUCACUGUGAACAAUCAAGAGCUUCUGAAAGAGAAAAUCUUUCUGGAGAGAAGGCCUUGAGCCCAAGAGCUGUCAAAGACAGUGACACCUGUGAAGAGAUCUUUUCUGUACCCACUGACCACAUGGAAAGAUGUGGAAACCAAGGAGCUAGCUUCCCUGAUGUGCUAUUUCUACCAAUCUACACUGGGACAUCAUUGUUAAAAGGCCCAAGAAUUGAGGCAACUGCUUGAAGAGCCCCAAC
RNAcentral lists this long non-coding RNA (446 nucleotides) under Mus spicilegus (steppe mouse). RNAcentral describes it as "lncRNA (ENSMSIG00000031030.1)". Lineage: Eukaryota; Metazoa; Chordata; Mammalia; Rodentia; Muridae. The record is from RNAcentral.